GCCCGGACCAACCGGUUGGAGCGGGAGAAGCGAUAUUAAAAAAGGCUACCGCUCUCUUGAUGUCGGACGAACUCGAUCGUACGCGCUGAUAGACCAGUUGAGUGAGCAGGAGUCGGUGAGCAUAAAGGGGA
This 131-nucleotide small RNA is filed under the name Pseudomonas aeruginosa PAK. RNAcentral describes it as "potential sRNA". The record is from RNAcentral. Lineage: Bacteria; Pseudomonadati; Pseudomonadota; Gammaproteobacteria; Pseudomonadales; Pseudomonadaceae.